Molecule: long non-coding RNA, 406 nt
Filed under: Homo sapiens (human)
Lineage: Eukaryota; Metazoa; Chordata; Mammalia; Primates; Hominidae
Description: HSALNT0262248
Source: RNAcentral
CUUACUCUCCCUGUCUAGACGAAAUUUUCUAUCCUUUGACCAGCAUCUCCCCAAACCCACCCAUUUGUUCAUUUUUCUUUCUUUUAACCAUAUCUCAGUUACUUAUCAAUCUGUUUAAAGACGCUUUUCAUGAGCUGCUAAUUCCGCAAAUGUGAGAAACACAUACAGGAUGCCUGCCCUUUGGAGGUGGACGUCUAGAAGGGAGGACAGAUAUUGAUCGAAGAAUUGUCCAAAUCUGCAGCUGCGAACUGCAAUAAGUUUCCUGUGGACUAGUCCUCCUCCCGAGACAUGGUGGCUGUAAUGAUCUCAAGCUGGGAUCUCAUGGACGGACAGGGGAACUCAAGCUAAACCCUGGCCCUCAAAGAGUUCUGCGCAAUGCAGUCCCAGGCCACAUGACAUUCCUGCU